RNAcentral lists this transfer RNA (71 nucleotides) under Cetonurus globiceps (globehead grenadier). RNAcentral's name for it is "tRNA-Trp". It matches the Rfam family "tRNA". From Rfam's summary of the family: Transfer RNA (tRNA) molecules are approximately 80 nucleotides in length. Their secondary structure includes four short double-helical elements and three loops (D, anti-codon, and T loops). Further hydrogen bonds mediate the characteristic L-shaped molecular structure. tRNAs have two regions of fundamental functional importance: the anti-codon, which is responsible for specific mRNA codon recognition, and the 3' end, to which the tRNAs corresponding amino acid is attached (by aminoacyl-tRNA synthetases). tRNAs cope with the degeneracy of the genetic code in two manners: having more than one tRNA (with a specific anti-codon) for a particular amino acid; and 'wobble' base-pairing, i.e. permitting non-standard base-pairing at the 3rd anti-codon position. The record is from RNAcentral. Lineage: Eukaryota; Metazoa; Chordata; Actinopteri; Gadiformes; Macrouridae.
AGGGGUUUAGGCUAAUUCUAGACCAAGAGCCUUCAAAGCUCUCAGUGGAGGUUAUAUCCCUUCAACCCUUG